CCUACGGGAGGCAGCAGUGGGGAAUAUUGCACAAUGGGGGAAACCCUGAUGCAGCGACGCCGCGUGAGUGAAGAAGUAUUUCGGUAUGUAAAGCUCUAUCAGCAGGGAAGAAAAUGCCGGUACCUGUUUAAGAAGCCCCGGCUAACUACGUGCCAGCAGCCGCGGUAAUACGGAGGGGGCAAGCGUUAUCCGGAUUUACUGGGGGUAAAGGGAGCGUAGACGGCAGCACAAGUCUGGAGUGAAAUGCCUGGGCUUAACCCCGGAACUGCUUUUGAAACUGUGCAGCUCGAGUGCAGGAGAGGGAAGUGGAAUUCCUGGUGUAGCGGUGAAAUGCGUAGAGAUCAGGAGGAACACCAGUGGCGAAGGCGGCGUACUGGAC
Molecule: ribosomal RNA, 379 nt
Filed under: uncultured bacterium
Lineage: Bacteria
Description: partial 16S ribosomal RNA
Rfam family: Bacterial small subunit ribosomal RNA
Source: RNAcentral